AAGAAUGUAUUGGGGGACUAGUUUACCUUUAGUAUGCCUCAGCUUCUGCUGAGUUUACCUGCAUGGUGACUACAUAAAUGUAAGUCUGCAGACCAGCUCCCUACCCAAAACAAUGGGGAAAAAUUAGGGGUUUGCAGAUCUCUGACUGCUAGCUGCAUCAGCUGCCAUAAGAGAGACUGCCCAAGAGAGGGGGAGACACUGCAGAUUUGCCCACCUUUCCUAGAAAACUUCCAUUUGAUCAACGUAAAAGUCUAAGAAGAAUUCAGAACAAUGAGAAAAGCCACCUACACCUGGCCAUCAAUAGACAAAGAGUGUGAGCUGCCUGAGAACUUAUAUAAGGAAGAACAAAAGUUUUUUUCAGUGCCUUGGAUAUGUUUUUAGAUUAAUCUGAAAUAAACCUGUUAAGGUCGUUCUUUUGUAUAUACAAUGGACUGGUAGUCACUCUAAUCUCAGGCAAGAAAGAAAUGUACUUCAAAGCUCAUGUAAUGCUCAGAGAAGCUUCCACUUCCAGGGCUUUAUUCAGACUGAUCGUACUUUGCUUGCCUUUCUGUGUUCUGAUAUUUUAUGAACAGAUGGAAUGUUCUGCAAAUUGGGAUGUGCACAUAUAUGUGGUUGUUGAAAGAGAAAAUGUUACUUAGACUAACAGGAGUUCUUAGGUACACCAUCUUUAUUCAUGUGGUGUAACUAAUCUAGCAUCAACCUGUGCCUUAGAGUUUUGUGUGACUCUAUCUUGAGUCAGUGGGAAAUUGGGAUGUGGUUUUUGUGAGUGUCUCUGAGCCUUUCCUUUCAAAUGCAAAGAUUUGGGAUGCACAUGCAGAGAAAAGUGCUUCUCCCAUAGGAUUCACAAGUAUAAGCUGUGGAAUGUGCAUAUGAAAAAUAAAUCUUGAAAAGUUCUCAUUCGUGUAAGGAAUUCUAUUGGAUGUAGGAGUCGCGUAGCACUAAGCACAUUAUUGUGGAAAUGGUGAACAACAACAUGCAAAAGGCUUUUAAAAUGUCAGGAGAGCACGGAUGCAAUAACAAUUGCACUAGUUUCAGGACACGAGACUUACAGAGACCUGGGCCUGCUGUGAUCCUCUUGUAGUAUGACCACCUUUUUCAUAUUCACAAUUUUGGAAAAAGAAGCAAUAUCUGAAUGAAAUAUCUAUUUCUGUUUUAUACUAUAGAAAGUAGUAUUUCAAGGUUUGUUCAUUCCAACAAUUCCUGUCGUUAUUACUGUUUUUUUAAUUAUUAUUUUUUAAUCUGUGAAGAACCUAUGACACCAGGAAAGACUAUAAAAAACAAACAAA
This is a long non-coding RNA of Numida meleagris (helmeted guineafowl), 1286 nucleotides long. RefSeq lists it as uncharacterized. The transcript is spliced from 5 exons. Lineage: Eukaryota; Metazoa; Chordata; Aves; Galliformes; Numididae. The record is from RefSeq and is a predicted model, not a curated record.